Molecule: small RNA, 70 nt
Filed under: Arabidopsis thaliana (thale cress)
Lineage: Eukaryota; Viridiplantae; Streptophyta; Magnoliopsida; Brassicales; Brassicaceae
Description: ATSL136530
Source: RNAcentral
AGUUUUUGAAAAUAUAUUGGCGUGACCUUCUUUUCCAUCAAAUAAAGGCCUUUUUUUUUGUCUUGUGUUA